This 492-nucleotide ribosomal RNA is filed under the name uncultured bacterium. RNAcentral's name for it is "partial 16S ribosomal RNA". It matches the Rfam family "Bacterial small subunit ribosomal RNA", at positions 29 to 507 of the family's 1533-position model. The record is from RNAcentral.
AGUGAACGCUGGCGGUAUGCCUAACACAUGCAAGUCGAACGACAGCACAGUAAGCGCUUGCCUUUAAGGGUGGCGGGUGGCGGACGGGUGAGGCAUACAUCAGAUUCCAAUUUUUCUUGGGGAAUAACGGAGGGCAACAUACGCUACUACCGAAUACGACCUACGGGUGAAAGCAGUAGUUAAUCAGACCUUGCGCGUUUCAAUUAGACGAUGUCGGAUUAGCUAGUUGGCGGGGUAAAGGCCCACCAAGGCGACGAUCCGUAGCUGGUCUGAGAGGAUGAUCAGCCACACUGGAACUGAGACACGGUCCAGACUCCUACGGGAGGCAGCAGUGGGGAAUAUUGGACAAUGGGCGCAAGCCUGACGCAGCAAUACCGCGUGAGUGAUGAAGGCCUUCGGGUUGUAAAGCCCUUUUAUUAGGAAAGAAAAGCAGCAGAUGAAUAUCCCGCUGUUCUGACGGUACCCAAAGAAAAAGCACCGGCUAACUUCGUG